UACGUAGGGUGCAAGCGUUGUCCGGAAUUAUUGGGCGUAAAGAGCUUGUAGGCGGUUUGUCGCGUCUGCUGUGAAAUUUCGGGGCUCAACCCCGAACUUGCAGUGGGUACGGGCAGACUAGAGUGUGGUAGGGGAGACUGGAAUUCCUGGUGUAGCGGUGGAAUGCGCAGAUAUCAGGAGGAACACCGAUGGCGAAGGCAGGUCUCUGGGCCAUAACUGACGCUGAGAAGCGAAAGCAUGGGGAGCGAACAGG
This 253-nucleotide ribosomal RNA is filed under the name uncultured bacterium. Its description in RNAcentral is "partial 16S ribosomal RNA". It matches the Rfam family "Bacterial small subunit ribosomal RNA", at positions 524 to 776 of the family's 1533-position model. The record is from RNAcentral.